RNAcentral lists this ribosomal RNA (728 nucleotides) under uncultured bacterium. RNAcentral's name for it is "bacterial SSU rRNA". It matches the Rfam family "Bacterial small subunit ribosomal RNA", at positions 8 to 731 of the family's 1533-position model. The record is from RNAcentral.
AGAGUUUGAUCAUGGCUCAGGAUGAACGCUAGCGGCAGGCCUAAUACAUGCAAGUCGAGGGGCAGCGGGAGUAGCAAUACUUGCCGGCGACCGGCGCACGGGUGCGUAACGCGUAUGCAAUGUACUCUCUGCUGGCGAAUAGCCCUUCGAAAGAAGGAUUAAUACGCCAUAAUAUUCGGGUGUGGCAUCACACUCCAAUUAAAGCUCAGGCGGUAGAGAAUCAGCAUGCGUGACAUUAGCUAGUUGGUGAGGUAACGGCUCACCAAGGCUACGAUGUCUAGGGGUUCUGAGAGGAUGAUCCCCCACACUGGUACUGAGACACGGACCAGACUCCUACGGGAGGCAGCAGUAAGGAAUAUUGGACAAUGGCCGCAAGGCUGAUCCAGCCAUGCCGCGUGAAGGAUGACGGCCCUAUGGGUUGUAAACUUCUUUUGUUUGGGAGAAAACCCCUGUACGUGUACAGGGCUGAUAGUACCAAAAGAAUAAGGAUCGGCUAACUCCGUGCCAGCAGCCGCGGUAAUACGGAGGAUCCAAGCGUUAUCCGGAUUUAUUGGGUUUAAAGGGUGCGUAGGCGGAAUAAUAAGUCAGUGGUGAAAGCCUGUCGCUUAACGAUAGAACUGCCAUUGAUACUGUUAAUCUAGAGUCCGUUUGAAGUGGGCGGAAUGUGCAGUGUAGCGGUGAAAUGCUUAGAUAUUGCACAGAACACCGAUUGCGAAGGCAGCUCACUA